Molecule: long non-coding RNA, 1861 nt
Organism: Gopherus evgoodei (Goodes thornscrub tortoise)
Lineage: Eukaryota; Metazoa; Chordata; Testudines; Testudinidae
Exons: 3
Source: RefSeq, a predicted model, not a curated record
GGGGAGCCACGGAUGUCGAUCCCGUGCUGUGAGGACGGGAGACGAAACCCAAGUUCCAGUCGCCCGUGAAUGUUAAGGAGGUUUGGAACCAGAUCUAAACCUGAACUCCCUGGCUCAUACCCAUCUCUAGUCCUAUUCAUGUGCAGAUGAAUAAGGACAGGGAAAUAAUAAUGAAUUUACAAUGCAACUCCUUGAAUCUACCCUCAAAAUCAAGUUCAGCUGUUCCUUACUCCCUGAGACCUUAAUCCAGGAAAGCUUGUGCUUAAGUCCAGACUAUUCAGAAAAACACUUAAAUAUGCACUUCACUUGAAGCACAAAUUUCAGUUAUGUCCUGAAUAAGAGGCUGAAUAAAGAUGAGCUAGGAAAGAGGCAAAGUGGUGAGACUACUCUGUUUUUAUGUCCUGCCACUCACUGUGAGCUUCUCCCUCACUUGGUGGUAUUCUUUUUCGAAUGUUUAUAGUUAGCCCCAAUGACUUGGCUUGUGAUUUGAUUCAUAAACUGAAGCUCUACCAUGAACCUUUCUGGUUACUAAGCUCAAAUGAAGAGAUGUUCUUUCCAUCUUUCUGAAAAUCAUUACUUUCACAUCCUUCUCUAAAUGUGAGUGCAAAUACUCUGCUUUCAACCCUACAACACUGUAAAAAACAAAUCAGCUCCAUCACAUGGCAGAGUAACAUACCGCUUCAUAUCACAAAUCACAGUCACAUAAUGUUUGCCUGUCUUCUCAUUCAAUAAAACUUGACCUCAGCUUGGUCUAGGUAUUUGGAAAGAACUGUUAUAUAACUCAUAAUUGACUGAAGCAAACAGUUCAAUAAAAAAAUGUAAGAUGUGGAUGUGGAAUUCUAAUAGCUGGAUCCACAAAUUUAGAAACGGUUUAUAGCAACAAUGUAGAUUGAUUUCAAAUAUUCUGGUACAAUAUGCAUGCAGUAAAUAAGUAUUCUUCUUUGAGUGCUUGUUCAUGUCAAUUCCAAACAGGUGUGUGCGCAUCACAUGCAUGACAGCCAGAAGAUUUUUCCCCUAGCAAUAUCCAUAGGAUCAGCCUGGAUGCCCUCUGCAGUCGUGCCUUCAUGGUGCCCAUUAUAGGGCCCUGCCAACCCAACCCUGUCUCAGUUCCUUCUUACUGCCUGUAAUGGCUAGCUGGAACUCCCCGUUGCUCUUGCCUUAGAAGCAAGUGUUAGCAGUGUUUGUGUAUAUAGUUUGUUAAUGUUAGAUAGUGUAGUAGUUUUUUCCUUCGGGGGGGGGGGGUCUCCCCCACCAAUGUUUUUCCCUGGCACCGGGUUAUGUCUUGGUUUCUGGGCUUUAAACCAUGCUCGGACUGUGGCAGGUUUAUGCAAAAAGUGACCCACACACUUCAUGCUUGAAGUGUCUCAGCAAGGGGCAUCUUAGAGAAAGGUGCAAAAUCUGUAUAAGUUUUUGCCCCUGGACUCUUAAAGCUAGGAAGCAGUGCCUCCGAGUAUUGCUUAUGAAGACAGCACUUUGGCCUCAGUCAGAGCCGGGCGUAAGCGCCACACCCUUGGUGCUCCAGUAUUGUCCAUGCAUGAGCCGGUGCCAAAGAAGGACUCUGCUAGAGACCCUCAGCAUCACCAUGGCUCUGCCCACAGGCCCCAAAUGUUGCACUCCCCAGUGCCCCACAAAAGAAAAAAGGCUGACACAGGGCAACUGUGUCACCAACCAGUUGGCCAACACGCCCCCAUCGGGCACCCAUUUGGUGGGGAUUUCAUUGACUCCUGCCCCGAGAUGGGUCCAAUCGAGUCCGGACCAGCACCGCUCACCAGCACACCGCCACAAGGCCUCCAGCUCCCCUCCACACUGGAGGCAUUCGAGGCAGCAGUGGACCUUUUGGCACUUACAGUGCCACCCUCAC